This is a long non-coding RNA of Pseudopipra pipra, 289 nucleotides long. RefSeq lists it as uncharacterized. The transcript is spliced from 2 exons. NCBI's taxonomy places the organism in Eukaryota, Metazoa, Chordata, Aves, Passeriformes, Pipridae. The record is from RefSeq and is a predicted model, not a curated record.
CUGAUGUUCCCGCAGGAAAAGGAUGAGCCCUAUUAAACCAGAACAUCAGCAUCAAAGGCAACAAGCAGAGGUUAUAAGAGGAACAGAGAAGAAAGCAAUGUAUCUCCAAAGGAUUCCUGCCAACACUGCAAAUUAGAAAUGUCACAUUCCUACAGCUGAGAGAGGGAAAAGACAGAGCUUCAUGGGAAGAUGGAGUACUGCCAUUUUCAUUCAGAGCCCAUAAAAGCUUAUUUCUUCCCUCUUCAGUUCUUGUUUUUACUCUUAGAUAAACAAGGUGAACUGUGUGGAA